RNAcentral lists this ribosomal RNA (460 nucleotides) under uncultured bacterium. RNAcentral describes it as "partial 16S ribosomal RNA". It matches the Rfam family "Bacterial small subunit ribosomal RNA", at positions 338 to 795 of the family's 1533-position model. The record is from RNAcentral.
CCUACGGGUGGCUGCAGUGAGGAAUAUUGGUCAAUGGACGAGAGUCUGAACCAGCCAAGUAGCGUGAAGGAUGACUGCCCUAUGGGUUGUAAACUUCUUUUAUAUGGGAAUAAAACGUUCCACGUGUGGGAUUUUGUAUGUACCCUAUGAAUAAGGAUCGGCUAACUCCGUGCCAGCAGCCGCGGUAAUACGGAGGAUCCGAGCGUUAUCCGGAUUUAUUGGGUUUAAGGGGUGCGUAGGUGGAUGGUUAAGUCAGUUGUGAAAGUUUGCGGCUCAACCGUAAAAUUGCAGUUGAAACUGGCAGUCUUGAGUACAGUAGAGGUGGGCGGAAUUCGUGGUGUAGCGGUGAAAUGCUUAGAUAUCACGAAGAACUCCGAUUGCGAAGGCAGUUCACUGGACUGCAACUGACACUGAGGCUCGAAAGUGUGGGUAUCAAACAGGAUUAGAUACCCUAGUAGUC